Long non-coding RNA from Bos taurus (domestic cattle), 637 nucleotides. Lineage: Eukaryota; Metazoa; Chordata; Mammalia; Artiodactyla; Bovidae. The record is from Ensembl.
UGGCCCUGCCCCUCGGCACUCUGGUUGGAGCCCACCCAGCACCAGAGGAGCAAGAUGACACUCACUGGCUCUGUUUGUUCGUGGCGUGUUCCCUCUGCACUCCCGUGAUCUCACCCGGCUGUGACCUGUCACCUGGCCCGAUCCCCCGGUGGCUCUGCCUCCUGCCCCCUCCUCUGCCCGGGCGCCCCCACCCACGUGACAGCUCCUUCUGAUGACUGUAGCCUCCUGCCUCCCUCUUGUGAGGACUCUGUGACGACCUGGGCCCACCCAGGUGACGCUGUGACGACCUAGGCCCACCCAGGUGACCCUGUGAUGACCUGGGCCCACCCACGUGACCCUGUGAUGACCUGGGCCCACCCACGUGACCCUGUGAUGACCUCUGCCCACCCAGGUGACCCUGUGAUGACCUCUGCCCACCCAGGUGACCCUGUGAUGACCUCUGCCCACCCAGGUGACCCUGUAAUGACCUGGGCCUACCCAGGUGACUCUGUGAUGAUCCAGGAUAACCUCCCAUCUCCAGGUCCUUCACUUCAUCACACUUGCAGAGUUCCUUUGUCACCGAAGGUCAUGGACUCUCAGGCUCUGGGGAUCAGGGGUGUAUAUUUGGGGGGCAUUAUUCGACCACCCGUGGCGUGCC